CCUACGGGAGGCAGCAGUGGGGGAUAUUGCACAAUGGGGGAAACCCUGAUGCAGCGACGCCGCGUGUGUGAAGAAGCGCCUCGGCGCGUAAAGCCAUGUCAGCAGGGAAGAAAAUGACGGUACCUGAAGAAGAAGCCCCGGCUAACUACGUGCCAGGAGCCGCGGGAAUACGUAGGGGGCAAGCGUGAUCCGGAUUUACUGGGUGUAAGGGGGGCGCAGACGGCGAGGCAAGCCAGGAGUGAAAGCCCGGGGCCCAACCCCGGGACUGCUCUUGGAACUGCGUGGCUAGAGUGCAGGAGGGGCAGGCAGAAUUCCUGGUGUAGCGGUGAAAUGCGUAGAUAUCAGGAGGAACACCGGUGGCGAAGGCGGCCCGCUGGACUGCAACUGACGUUGAGGUCCGAAAGCGUGGGGAGCAAACAGAAUUAGAUACCCUUGUAGUC
RNAcentral lists this ribosomal RNA (440 nucleotides) under uncultured bacterium. RNAcentral's name for it is "partial 16S ribosomal RNA". It matches the Rfam family "Bacterial small subunit ribosomal RNA", at positions 338 to 795 of the family's 1533-position model. The record is from RNAcentral.